GACACGCACUAUUGUGAUUGGCUAAGUGCUUUUGUAACAAGGAUGAGACAGUGAUUUAUGUUUAGCCAGUCGGUGUUUGCAUUCGUGCUUGUUAAAAGGAAUUGGUAUUGUCGCCAUUUGAUUUUAAGGUCGUCUAUGUCUGAGCUGGUGGCCGCCUGGGCCAGGUGGUUAAGACUGAAUAGCGAUGGCCACUCUGUAGAGUGCAAGUGGGAAACUAGGCAAGAAUGCUUCUACGAAUUCUUCUCAUCCGACAUUAUUGCACGUCUGAUCACACUGCAGGAACUUUUUCCUUUAAAUGGAUUUAUAAUUUUUGGAUCACAGCUCCAACCGCUGAACUUAUAAGGAUGAAGCAGAAUGCGUUGGAUUUGCUUGCAACGAUAGAUCUGUAUCUAGCAUUUGAUAUACCUGGGUACCUGCAUGAUCAAGGAAGAGUACUGACGUGAAGUGGCAGCGUUGGGUCCUGUUAGGCUCAGACGAGCGAAGUGGCAGUGAAGCACAGCCGAGCGAAGUGGCAGUGAAGCACAGCCGAGCGAAGUGGCAGUGAAGCACAGCCGAGCGAA
Long non-coding RNA from Macrobrachium nipponense, 560 nucleotides. RefSeq lists it as uncharacterized. Lineage: Eukaryota; Metazoa; Arthropoda; Malacostraca; Decapoda; Palaemonidae. The transcript is spliced from 4 exons. The record is from RefSeq and is a predicted model, not a curated record.